UAUAGCCGUACCACCCUGAAUGUGCCUGAUCUCCUUUGGUCUCAGAAGCUAAGCAGGGUUGGGCCUGGUUAGUACUUGGAUGGGGGAAUGUUUUAGUAAAACUUUAU
This 107-nucleotide ribosomal RNA is filed under the name Microcebus murinus (gray mouse lemur). The record is from RNAcentral. Lineage: Eukaryota; Metazoa; Chordata; Mammalia; Primates; Cheirogaleidae.